Molecule: ribosomal RNA, 468 nt
Filed under: uncultured bacterium
Lineage: Bacteria
Description: partial 16S ribosomal RNA
Rfam family: Bacterial small subunit ribosomal RNA
Source: RNAcentral
GACGAACGCUGGCGGCGCGCCUAACACAUGCAAGUCGAACGGAGCUGCGAGAAGCUUGCUUUUCUUAGCUUAGUGGCGAACGGGUGAGUAACGCGUGAGUCACCUGCCCUGGUGUGGGGGACAACAGUUGGAAACGACUGCUCAUACCGCAUAAGCCCACGAUCCGGCAUCGGAUUUAGUGCAAAGGAUUUUUUCGCUUCAGGAUGGACUCGCGUCCAAUUAGCUAGUUGGUGAGGUAACGGCCCACCAAGGCGACGAUUGGUAGCCGGACUGAGAGGUUGAACGGACACAUUGGGACUGAGACACGGCCCAGACUCCUACGGGAGGCAGCAGUGGGGGAUAGUGCACAAUGGGGGAAAACCUGAUGCAGCGACGCCGCGUGGAGGAAGAAGGUUUUCGGAUAGUAAACUCCUGUCGUGAGGGACGAGAAUGACGGUACCUAACAAGAAAGCACCGGCUAACUACGUG